GCGCAUGCGCCCCAGCUCUUGGAGGUGUUUUAGCUCACUUGGAAAGGCUAGAGACCCAAGUGAGCAGAUCCCGUAAACAGUCUGAAGAGCUGCAGAGCGUGCAGGCCCAGGAAGGUGCUCUUGGAACCAAGAUUCAUAAACUAAGGCGUCUGCGAGAUGAGCUGAGGGCUGUGGUGCGGCACCGGCGAGCCAGCGUGAAAGCAUGUAUUGCCAAUGUAGAACCCAACCAAACAGUGGAGAUCAAUGAGCAAGAAGCAUUGGAAGAGAAAUUGGAAAAUGUGAAAGCCAUUCUGCAGGCAUAUCAU
Molecule: long non-coding RNA, 305 nt
Filed under: Homo sapiens (human)
Lineage: Eukaryota; Metazoa; Chordata; Mammalia; Primates; Hominidae
Description: HSALNT0028877
Source: RNAcentral